UCCUACGGGACGCAGCAGUGAGGAAUAUUGGUCAAUGGAGGCAACUCUGAACCAGCCAAGUAGCGUGCAGGAUGACGGCCCUAUGGGUUGUAAACUGCUUUUAUGCGGGGAUAAACUGAGUCACGUGUGGCUUAUUGCAGGUACCGCAUGAAUAAGGACCGGCUAAUUCCGUGCCAGCAGCCGCGGUAAUACGGAAGGUCCGGGCGUUAUCCGGAUUUAUUGGGUUUAAAGGGAGCGCAGGCCGCCCCUUAAGCGUGUUGUGAAAUGCCGCGGCUCAACCGUGGCACUGCAGCGCGAACUGGGGG
Molecule: ribosomal RNA, 305 nt
Filed under: uncultured bacterium
Lineage: Bacteria
Description: bacterial SSU rRNA
Rfam family: Bacterial small subunit ribosomal RNA
Source: RNAcentral